GGGCGGUUAGCUCAGUUGGGAGAGCAUCUGGUUUACAUCCAGAGGGUCGGGGGUUCGAACCCCUCACCGCCCACCA
RNAcentral lists this transfer RNA (76 nucleotides) under Magnetovibrio sp. Its description in RNAcentral is "tRNA-Val". It matches the Rfam family "tRNA". Rfam says of the family: Transfer RNA (tRNA) molecules are approximately 80 nucleotides in length. The record is from RNAcentral. Lineage: Bacteria; Pseudomonadati; Pseudomonadota; Alphaproteobacteria; Rhodospirillales; Magnetovibrionaceae.